UACGUAGGGGGCUAGCGUUGUCCGGAAUCAUUGGGCGUAAAGAGCGUGUAGGCGGCCAGAUAAGUCCGCUGUGAAAUCUCGAGGCUCAACUUCGAGCUGUCGGUGGAAACUGUCUGGCUAGAGUCCGGAAGAGGAGAAUGGAAUCCUGGUGUAGCGGUGGAAUGCGCAGAUAUCAGGAGGAACACCGGUGGCGAAGGCGGGAUCCUGGGCCAGUACUGACGCUGAGGAGCGAAAAGCGUGGGGAGCAAACAGGG
This 254-nucleotide ribosomal RNA is filed under the name uncultured bacterium. RNAcentral describes it as "partial 16S ribosomal RNA". It matches the Rfam family "Bacterial small subunit ribosomal RNA", at positions 524 to 777 of the family's 1533-position model. The record is from RNAcentral.